AGGAAGGGCUAUCCAGUAAGAUAGCCCAUGGAAAUAAAUGAACGAGUUUCUGUUCAUGGUGUUGUCCAUUCCCAGGCCUCAUGUGAUGAAAUAUCCAGGGUUUAAUUUCUCUGGGAAGGAAAGAAGUUCAGAGUCCCAUACAGAAUACUCUUCAGCUGGAAGGAUGUCAGAAAGAUGGAUUUCCAAAGCCAACUGCCUCCUGUACCAUGUGGAUCUCUGCAAGUAGAGUCUCAUCUUUCAAUUUCAGCUGCAUAAGAAGAUGGAAGGGGAGGAGACAUGUCAUACCUGAUAUAUCUUUGUGGAAACCCCUCAUUUACAGGGCCACAGUUAAAGAAUAUAGUUCCUUGGCAUGAAACUGGCUCUUCCCAUAUCCCCUAUUUCAUGGUAGCUCCAUUAAAAGACCUCAGAACAUUGUGCUUACAUGGACACAUUCACUUUAUGAAAAUUCAAGUAGUAUAAACAUUUGCAAUUUGUGUAUUUUUUUGUAAAAUAACUUUAAUAAAGUUUACUUUU
RNAcentral lists this long non-coding RNA (513 nucleotides) under Lynx pardinus (Iberian lynx). The record is from RNAcentral. Lineage: Eukaryota; Metazoa; Chordata; Mammalia; Carnivora; Felidae.